CUAUUAUCAGAUAAUACCUAAUGUAUCUGGAAUAAGAUUACUGAGGUGAAACAGACGCAAAGGGAGAUGCAUUUAGUGUUGGUACUUCUUGCGCUCCUGUCCCCAUCAUGUUCAGCGCGAUAUCAAAACGUGAUCCUUCUCGUUCCCAAAUACAUUGAGCCAGGGACGAACUUCUGUGUUGAAAUCCACAGCAAAGACAAUCCAUGGACAAUUCCUUUAGUUGGACAAAUUAAAACGUCAACAGGGGCACUUGUUUCAUCAAAAGAAAUUGACGUUUAUCCAGGAACAGUAUCGAAGCUGGUGUUGAAGAUCCCACCAACCAUAACCCAAGAUACGAUGUACAUCUUCAACUGCAAACCUACAACUCAAAGAAUCAACAUGGAAUCUUCAGUUUCAAUUCUUGCAUACAGGGAUGAUGGUUAUUAUUACCUAAUACAAACAGAUAAAUUCAUAUACAGGGGAGGACAAACAGUUCGAUUUCGAGUUAUAGGAUUAAACCAACAUCUAAUCCCCCACUCUGCACCAUUAACAGUUACUGUGAAGGACUCUAAGGGACAGAAAAUUGAACUGUGGAACAAUCUGUUGAUGACUGACGGGGUACUGAGUCAUAGUUUUGAUCUUGGAGAUGAUGUGCCAUUUGGAACUUGGUCAAUCACUGCAAGCGACGGGGUAAAUUCGACGACGGUAAAUCUGAAAAUCAUGGAUUAUUAUUUACCAACCUAUGAAGUAAAAGUUGAAUUUCCACAACAAAACAAAUUUGUUGCCUUGACUGAUGAUUUUGUACAUGUGAAAGUAACGGCCAGGUAUUUUUUUGGAAAAGACGUCCAGGGUAACGUCUCGAUCAUUGGCUCUCUGAAAUCAUGGGAUCAGCCGCAAUAUUAUGGAAUCCAGUUUCCUGCCUACUCACCACUACCAAAACAGAUAAAAGGCUCUGCAACGUUUGACAUACCAAUGUCGGAAAUAAGGAAAAUGAUUGAAGCUCUCAAUGCCCCGCUCUCUUCUGAUUCCCUCUAUGUAGACGCAUAUGUAGCGGAUCAGGGUAUCAGCAUGAACGGCUCCAAAGCUGUAGUUCUCUACGACAGCCCUAUAGAAAUAAAAAUCACACCAGUGUCAAAGUUUUUCCGAGCAGGGAUGCGUUUUGAUACACAGAUACUGAUACGACAAGUGAAUGGAGACCAACUCCCAACUCCCCUGUUAAAAGGAACCCUUACAACUACUAUCAACGGACACACCUCCAGCUACACGUUUAUUCCAGUACUGCAUGGUUUCAAUACAGUUAAGAUCGUAGUGCCUAGCGAUGCUUUGAGUCUGAAUGUGAAGGUCGAAUAUCAGGGAGUCAGCAAGGAUAUGGAUAUCAACUCAUUUUCAGGGUCAGAGGGUCACUUCUUGGAACUACUGCCUUCAUCACAAGAAGUUAAAGUAGAUGACUGGCUCAAUGUUACAAUACUUUCAAACCAAGUACUUCCGGAUCUGAACUACAGGAUAGUCGUGCGUCAAGACGUCUUUGACGACGGCGUUAUAGCUACCCAGAACAAGUCUUCAGUAACUACGCAGUUCCACAUAACGCAAGAAAUGUAUCCAGAUGCGUACAUUAUUGUGUAUUACUUCUUACCAGACGGCGGAGCGGUUGCAGACGAAGUUCGGGUGAACAUAGAUAGCUCUGACCAUAAUCGGGUGCACAUCAGUUUCAAACAACCGUAUGUUCGUCCCGGCGAUAAUACCACUCUCAGUGUAUCAGGAACUCCGGGAUCCACAAUCUGCCUCACGGUUGUUGAUAAAAGUGUCCUCAUAUUAGGCAAUGAAAAUGAAAUCACUGAACCCAGGUAUAAACACCUGUUAUUGUCAAAAGCCGUUCAUGCCGUUGAUGAGGAUAACAGCGAAGACCUUCUUACGAAUACUGGAAUGUCUGUUUGGACACUCAAAACAGAUAUAAACGAAUGCUUCAUAUCACAACCAUGUCGGAAUGGAGGAACAUGCGUGGAUGAGAUUCCGGGGUUCAAAUGUUAUUGCCCUCCCCACUAUACUGGAAAAGUCUGCGAAAUAAACCUUGAUAUGAUUGUCCGACGGGUAAAGCUAACGUCUCUGUGAACCUUGGGGACACUUUGACGACAUGGGUGGCUAGUGCCUUUGGAUUAAACUUGAAGUAUGGACUAAGCAUCUCGUCGGAAUAUGCUGAGGUGCAAACUUUUCUCAGUUUCUUCGUGUUGCUCACUGUUCCGGAUCACAUCGUGUUUGGGGAAGAGAUACUAUUACAGCCAAAGGUGUAUAACUACAUGGGCAGUGAUUUU
RNAcentral lists this unclassified non-coding RNA (2288 nucleotides) under Haliotis rufescens (red abalone). RNAcentral's name for it is "cD109 antigen-like, transcript variant X4". The record is from RNAcentral. Lineage: Eukaryota; Metazoa; Mollusca; Gastropoda; Lepetellida; Haliotidae.